AGGGAGNCUAUAUGCAGUUCGAGCGGAAACGACACUAACAAUCCUUCGGGUGCGUUUAAUGGGCGUCGAGCGGCGGACGGGUGAGUAAUGCCUAGGAAAUUGCCUUGAUGUGGGGGAUAACCAUUGGAAACNAUGGCUAAUACCGCAUGAUGCCUACGGGCCAAAGAG
RNAcentral lists this ribosomal RNA (168 nucleotides) under Vibrio sp. RNAcentral's name for it is "partial 16S ribosomal RNA". Lineage: Bacteria; Pseudomonadati; Pseudomonadota; Gammaproteobacteria; Vibrionales; Vibrionaceae. The record is from RNAcentral.